UGCAUUCUUUCUCAACCUGCAGCUCAGAAUUUUCCCCCAGUGACUCUGCUCUGGGCCAGGCUGGGUAACACCACGUGGUCACCUGGGUUCGUGCGCCCCUAAAUCCUUCCCAUCUCUGCCAGGUCUUUGAUGGAGCAGAACGGCCAAUGCCUUAGGAUCGGUGAACAGGAAUCUGAAGGAAGAAUGGAAGCCUGGGAAAGGCCCUGCUGAGUAAGAAGUCCCAUCAGACAGAACUUUGGGGGCUUUUCGGGGGCUUCAGCACUGCGUGCCCUGGACUGGGGAGGAGGCAGAGAUGGAGAAUUCCGAAGGCCAUGCCACUCGCUCCACGGCAUCUGCAUGAGCAGAACAUGUUAUUGUAAUCCUGGCUCAUAGCCUUUGGCUCCUAUUUACCCAUGAGUCCCAGGACAACCACUGACUCCAGGUGACAGCUGGAGGGAAAUCUUCAUCUUGCAAGGUCAGAGAGGCCAAGGGCUCUGACCAAGGACACAAAGCUACUGAAUGACAAAGCUAGACUCUGCUGCUGGUGCUCCUGCUGCCGCGCCUUGCCCGUUUGUCCUCGGGCUGCCGGCCUCUUAGAUUAGCAUCUUUUCCAGGGAGUAAUUCACAUGGACGGCAGCCUGCAGGGGAGCUGAGAUAGAGCAAUGACUGCAAAGAGGAGAAAGACCUGGGCUGCCUGUGGGAACCAUACCCAGCUGACACAGGGAACUGAGCUCUGCCAGUGCAGGAAUGUCCCAGAUACUUCCCCCACUAUUGUCUUAACCCUGUCGCUCUGGUUCUGACCCACGGCCAUGUUCGUGUCCUCCAAACCCACACUGGCAUCCCGCAUCCAUGGGACAUCAUCGUCCUUAGCGAAAAAGAAGAAAACUGAAACACAGUUACACUAGCAGGGAGAAAAGAUGAACUUGCUGAAGUGACCUGCUAGUUUCAAACAGAAUUAUUGAUCAAUUAAACUCUUGAAGAGGCAUAACUCAUCAGGGAGCUGUGGUCACAGCUACGAGGUAAUGGGGAAC
Long non-coding RNA from Bos indicus x Bos taurus (hybrid cattle), 1010 nucleotides. The record is from Ensembl. Lineage: Eukaryota; Metazoa; Chordata; Mammalia; Artiodactyla; Bovidae.